This 340-nucleotide ribosomal RNA is filed under the name uncultured Leptolinea sp. RNAcentral's name for it is "bacterial SSU rRNA". It matches the Rfam family "Bacterial small subunit ribosomal RNA", at positions 1031 to 1382 of the family's 1533-position model. The record is from RNAcentral. Lineage: Bacteria; Bacillati; Chloroflexota; Anaerolineae; Anaerolineales; Anaerolineaceae.
UGCACAGGUGCUGCAUGGCUGUCGUCAGCUCGUGUCGUGAGAUGUUCGGUUAAGUCCGCUAACGAGCGCAACCCUCGCUGUGUGUUAUAUGUGUCACACGGGACUGCCGGUCUUAAGCCGGAGGAAGGUGGGAUGAUGUCAAGUCAGCAUGGCCUUUAUAUCCUGGGCUACACACACGCUACAAUGGCCAACACAAUAGGUUGCUAAGCCGCGAGGUGGCGCCAAUCCAAUAAAGUUGGUCUCAGUUCAGAUUGUAGGCUGCAACCCGCCUGCAUGAAGAUGGAGUUGCUAGUAACCGCAGGUCAGCUAUACUGCGGUGGAAUAACGUUCCUCGGGGCUU